CUCUCUCUCCCUCUCCUCUCUCUCUCCCCCCUCUCUCUCUCCUCCCUCCCCUUUCACCCUCUCUCUUCUUCAUUCUUUCCUCUCCCCCCUCCCCCACCAAGGGCACUGUGACUAAUCUUGCUAUCUGUGCCACUUGAUAAAUUAGAGGCUGCCUCUUCUCUUUGUGGUUUGGUUUUAAAAGCACUUUCUCUCUUUGUUUACUGUACAGGUGAUACAAUUUCAUGGUAGAAACCUCAGAAAGGAGAAGGAAAUCAGAUGAGGGAAAACCAAGAGAGUAAUGGCUCCCCAUGAUCCUGCUACCCAGAGACAACCACUUUUACCUUUUUGGUGUGCUGCCUUUCCAGGUUCUCUCUCUUUCUCUCUCUCUCCCUCCCGUUCUCACCCCCACCUCACCUUCCCUUUUCACAUACUGUUAUACAACGGUUCAUGUAUGUGGUGUUUCUUAACCUGCUUUUUUUUCAAAAACUAAAACCAAACAGAAAUCAACACACUGAACGUCUUUCCAUGUUAUACAACAGGCUUCUGAAACUCAUCUUCAGUGCCUGCAGAGUGUAUCCACGCACCUUAACAUUUCUGUAACCGUUCCCUCAUUGUUGGACAUUCAGGUGGUGCCUAGUUCUUUCCUUGUGUUUAACCCCAACACUGAGUCUCUGAUGAGUGACUCCUUCCUUGUCAAGCCAAAUCUCCGCUGGCAUACCCUACGGUCAUCUUAAUUGUGGACUCGAAGGAUCCACACAUGGACAUUUUAAAGACUUUUCCGAAAAAAAGUCAGAAAGCGGACCAGGUACCAAAAGCGAACUAAUGUCAGCAAUAUUGAAUCCUCAUGAACAUUCAUGUCUUCCUGAGUCAUUUUCAUCUGUAUCUGCACAAUAUUUUUAAUUUUCAUGAAUUUCAAUGCAUUUGCUGUUUCUAUAUCUAUUUUUUCAUACAUAAAUACAUAAUAUAGAUAGAUGUAGAUGUAAAGUUAGAUAUUCUUGAACUUCUUUUCAUGUCAUUAAAUAUUCUUCUAAAAUAGUUUCCAUGGUUGUUUAGUAUUCCAUUGAAUGAGUUAGAUAGAGGAAUAGAUGUAUGUAUGUAUGUAUUUCUAUACUUAUAGAUAUGAGGGUUUUUUUUCACUGCUUCCUCAUUGUGGAACAUUUAGGUGGUUUUAUUUGUGUGUUUUUUUCCCUUACCCUAACCCAAACUGCUAAUAAUAUCAUAGUGCACAUGCCUUGCUUACAUUCAAGAUUAUUUCCUGAGCAAACAUUGCGAAAAGAGGAAUUGAAGACUCAAAGGAUAUGUCAGGAUUAAAUUCUGCAUUCCACUGUUCUGGGCAGUCAACCAAGCCUGAGGCUACAGAGAGUUAAGGGUCCAACAUUUCCCAGACGUCUCUGCUGCUGGAGCCAUAUUGCAUCUCAGUGAGUACCAUAAUUGGUCUUAUCUUUCCAAAUUAUUAAAUAUUCUCUUCUAAUUUGUUUUUAUUUUAUGUUCCAUAUUAUGGAUGACUGAUAAUUUCUAAAUCUCAAUUCAUUGAUGUAUGUUUAAAUUAUUCUUUUUUUUUCUUAGUAAGAUUAACUCUUCUGGGAACAUAUUUGUAGCUGAAUGUUUGCUAACAUGUAGUACAUGUAGUUACCAACUAUACCUUGCCAGUUUGUUGCUGAAUGCCUUUUCAGCAAAGGUUAUCCCCAUGAACAGUGUAAGAGAGUAUAUUUCCCUGGUUAUCUUCUUAAG
Molecule: long non-coding RNA, 1710 nt
Organism: Myotis myotis
Lineage: Eukaryota; Metazoa; Chordata; Mammalia; Chiroptera; Vespertilionidae
Exons: 3
Source: RefSeq, a predicted model, not a curated record